Astatotilapia calliptera (eastern happy) is the source of this 1177-nucleotide long non-coding RNA. Lineage: Eukaryota; Metazoa; Chordata; Actinopteri; Cichliformes; Cichlidae. The record is from Ensembl.
CCCGAAACUCUGGCUGAUUGGGACCCACGCCCACCUUGGCUCAGGUGAUUAGAGGAUCAUCAGGGGGUCCUUUUGUCCCUCUGUGGGGGGUUACUCCCACUAGGUUUAUAUCUGGGACUCUCCACCAUUUGACCUUAGAACUGAAGAAGCUUCUCGGAUGAGAGGUGAAACGUCUUCAAGUAACUUAAAGAAGUCCAGACGCUUUUCUUUGCAAGCUCCUUUGACUACGAUGACCUGGAUGACUGAGAACCUUCACAGACAAACUUAGCAUUCAUAAAGAUUGGCUCUUCAGUUCAUGUUUAUGCAGAUUUGUAAAUUCAACUACAGCAUAGAUGCAAGCACAGCCACAGAAAGACAGCGCAUAAAUAACCUUGAUCUGCCCUAGAACAAGCAUCAAUGUGUUGUACAUAUUUCAUAUUUUCAUUUUCCUACUUUGAAAAGCAAUUGACCUAUGUUUUACCAGAGCCUCAAACCUGACUUUAAUAUAAAGAAAGUAAGAACUGGGUGUCAUGAGACAUUAUAAAGCCAGUGGCUGUAUCAUCAUAUAUAUAUAUAUAAAAAAACAAAACAAAAAAAACACCCAGCACGCCCCUGCGGGCGGUUUAUCCUUCAAGCUCGGGUCCUCUACCAGAUGCCUGGGAGCUUGAGGGUCCUGCGCAGUAUCUUCGCUGUUCCCAGGACUGCGCUCUUCUGGACAGAGAUCUCCGAUGUUCCCGGGAUCUGCUGGAGCCACUCGCCUAGCUUGGGAGUCACCGCACCUAGUGCUCCGAUUACCACGGGGACCACCGUCACCUUCACCCUCCACAUCCUCUCGAGCUCUUCUCUGAGCCCUUGGUAUUUCUCGAGCUUCUCGUGUUCCUUUUUCCUGAUAUUGCUGUCAUUUGGAACCGCUACAUCGAUCACUACGGCCGUCUUCUUCUGUUUAUCUACCACCACUAUGUCCGGUUGGUUAGCCAGCACCAUUUUGUCCGUCUGUAUCUGGAAGUCCCACAGGAUCUUAGCUCGGUCAUUCUCCACCACCCUUGGGGGCAUCUACCAUUUUGACCUCGGAACUUCCAGGCCAUAUUCGGCACAGAUGUUCCUGUACACUAUGCCGGCCACUUGGUUAUGGCGUUCCCUGUAUGCCCUGCCUGGUAGCAUCUUGCACCCUGCUGUUAUGUGCUGGAUUGUCUCAGGG